This 26-nucleotide non-coding RNA is filed under the name Homo sapiens (human). The record is from RNAcentral. Lineage: Eukaryota; Metazoa; Chordata; Mammalia; Primates; Hominidae.
UGGCCCCUGUUAACUUGAGUGUUGGU